GAUGAACGCUGGCGGCGUGCUUAACACAUGCAAGUCGAACGGGAAACCUUUUAUUGAAGCUUCGGCAGAUUUAGCUGGUUUCUAGUGGCGGACGGGUGAGUAACGCGUGGGUAACCUGCCCUAUACAGGGGGAUAACAACCAGAAAUGGUUGCUAAUACCGCAUAAGCGCACAGGGCCGCAUGGUCCGGUGUGAAAAACUCCGGUGGUAUAGGAUGGACCCGCGUUGGAUUAGCCAGUUGGCAGGGUAACGGCCUACCAAAGCGACGAUCCACAGCCGGCCUGAGAGGGUGAACGGCCACAUUGGGACUGAGACACGGCCCAGACUCUUACGGGAGGCAGCAGUGGGGAAUAUUGCACAAUGGGGGAAACCCUGAUGCAGCGACGCCGCGUGAAGGAAGAAGUAUCUCGGUAUGUAAACUUCUAUCAGCAGGGAAGAUAGUGACGGUACCUGACGAAGAAGCCCCGGCUAACUACGUG
This 478-nucleotide ribosomal RNA is filed under the name uncultured bacterium. RNAcentral's name for it is "partial 16S ribosomal RNA". It matches the Rfam family "Bacterial small subunit ribosomal RNA", at positions 28 to 507 of the family's 1533-position model. The record is from RNAcentral.